Molecule: ribosomal RNA, 425 nt
Filed under: uncultured bacterium
Lineage: Bacteria
Description: partial 16S ribosomal RNA
Rfam family: Bacterial small subunit ribosomal RNA
Source: RNAcentral
GUGGGGAAUAUUAGGCAAUGGGGGAAACCCUGACCUAGCAACGCCGCGUGAAGGAUGAAGGUCUUCGGAUUGUAAACUUCUUUGGCCCGGGACGAUAAUGACGGUACCGGGAGAACAAGCCACGGCUAACUACGUGCCAGCAGCCGCGGUAAUACGUAGGUGGCAAGCGUUGUCCGGAUUUACUGGGUGUAAAGGGCGAGUAGGCGGGGAUGUAAGUCAGAUGUGAAAUACCGAGGCUUAACUUCGGAGCUGCAUUUGAAACUGCAUUUCUUGAGUGAUGGAGAGGCAGGCGGAAUUCCCGGUGUAGCGGUGAAAUGCAUAGAGAUCGGGAGGAACACCAGUGGCGAAGGCGGCCUGCUGGACAUUAACUGACGCUGAGGCGCGAAAGUGUGGGGAGCAAACAGGAUUAGAUACCCGUGUAGUCC